UGAAUCGUAUUGCUAACACAUGUGUGUAUUUACCUUUUUUUACUCACAACAAAAAAAUUUUACAAAUUCCAAAAUACUUGACUCCAAAUUGUAAAUGUUGCGAAAACGCAUCACUGGGAAAAUACGUUAUCUGUAUUUUGGUCGAAAUAGCGCUCGAGUUGCCAACGGUAUCAGCUAGAGAUAUUGCGGUUUAGGCUUGUGUGUUUGUGUUUGUGUGUAAGAAAGUUUUUAGUAAUAUUGAAUUUUAAUCGGUGCUAAGUGUAUGUGUAUUUUCGAAAAACAUGCCUAAAUUUCUUACGCAAAAUGAGCUGGAGAGUGCUUUAUAUGAAGUAGUAGAUGAAUUGGAAGCAGAACAUUCCGGAGAUGUUGUUGAAAUUGAUGCUGUUUAUAUUUCUCCAGAACCAGAUAGCUUGACUGACGAAGAAAAUAUAGAUGACGAUGUAAUUGCUGUAAACGAAAAAAACACCCAAAAUGAUGUGGACAUAGCGGGCACAUUUGAAUUAAGGUCCGUUCAGAGUGGAAGCGUCGCGUCGCGUCCAGCGUUCUGCCGCGUUUUGCGUCGCGCAGCGUUUCCUCGCGUCAGUACAUUCAUAGUACCGUCAGCGAAAGCGUCAGAAUAAGCGGUUUAAAAUUCAGUCUACAAAAUGGCUCCAAAAAAGACAGUUCGUUUAUGUGCGUUAAUGUUCUUGUUAGAGACACCAUUAUAUAGAUAUAAGAGAAAAAAAGUUGGAAUUCACCCCAUAAACAGGAGAAGACAUGUAUUUGGUAAAUUUUACCAUUUGUAUAGUAAGCUAGGAUUGUAUCCUGAUCGGUUUUUUAACUACCUAAGAAUGUCCGUCAAAACUUUUGACUAUUUGUUGGAAAAGGUUAGCCAUCGUCUGGAAAAAACUGUAACCAAUUUUGUAAAAAGGAGAUUUAUUUCACCUGUUGAACGAGUUGUUAUUACAGUAAUAAGGUUUCUUGCAACUGGAACUACUUAUAAACAUUUGGCACAUGAAUUUAGGAUUGGAUAUUCAACAGUCUCGAUAAUAAUAAAAGAAACAUGUUCAAUUAUUUGGGAAGAACUUGUAGAAACUCACAUGCCAAUUUGCACUUAACAGCAAUUGGAGAAAAUCAUUGACGGAUAUAAUACCCUGUGGAACUUCCCAAAUUGUUUCGGAUCGAUUGACGGGAAGCAUUGUCGUAUUAGAUGUCCACCUAAUAGUGGCACAACCUAUUUUAAGUAUUUAAAAUACUAUUCAAUCGGAUUGCAAGGGGUUGCAGAUGCCAACAAAAAAUUUAUUACUAUUGAAGUGGGUUCACGUGGAUCAGAAAGUGAUGGGGGAGUAUUUCAAUCCUCGGCACUUUACAGUUUGUUGGACACCAAUCGAUUCAAUGUACCUCCAGAUCAAGCUCUGCCGAAUUCCAAUAGUGUGCUACCAAAUGUUCUGAUAGGGGAUGAGGUAAUCCUUUAAAGAAAUAUUUGAUGAGGCCUUAUCCGCGCCCAAGAAAUGCAGUGUUAGAAAAUGAUAAGCAAGUCUUUAACGAUCGCUUAUCACGAGCUCGAAAAUGCAUAUGGAAUCUUAUAUCAGAAGUUCCGCAUUUUUUGAUACAAACGUUUUACUAAAACGAGAAACCGCUAUAAUUGUAAUCAAAUGCGCGUGCAUAUUACACAACUUAAUUCGUGACUUUGAUGGGAAUGCUGACUUGGAUUAUGUUUAUGUCGUAGAAAAUGCUGCUAAUGCAAGGCAAGGCAAUGUAAAUAAUUUAAAUGUAAGAAACAACUGAGCCUCUAAACUUCCUACAGGAAUUCGAGAUUCAUUUAAGGACUAUUUUAGUAACAACCCUCUUUAGAUUAGUAAAAAAUUAUUUUAUUUUUUUUUUAAUUUUAACAACUAACACAACUAGCGCCAUCUAUCAAAAAUACAAAAACUGUAUGCAUAAUUUUAUUUUUCUUUUUAAAAAAAUUGUAUGUUCUAAAUUUCAUGUAAAUAUGUCAUUUGGCUCCGGACCUAUGAGAAAAAAGCGAUAAAUUGAAUAAUACUUUGACACCCUGUAUGUCAGUUACUAUUAAAGUCAGUGGCGGCUUUUGGGGUAGAGCCACAGUGCCAUGGCUCUACCCAAUAAUCGUUGAAAAUAAAAAAAAUAAUUUAUUUUUUAAAUUUUACUUCAGUCCAAAAAAAUAUCUGUAUAUUAAUAUUUAAUACCAAUUAUAAAAUUAAAAUACUGGAACGCAGCCAGUGCAAGAUUCCACAAAUUUCGCUAAUGCGGAAUCGAAGACGUAGUUGUCGCGCCAGGCCCCGUAUCGAUGCAUGUUACAUCGAAUAAUCACAGCAAAUGUCCUUGAAACAAUGUGGUAAAGCUACGGCAAAUUAAAUAAUUUUGGGCCAGGCUCCAAACCAAUAGAAUCUUUUCUAGCAAAACGUGCGUGAUAUUGUGUGUUUUGAUUAUUCAUCGGGCGUUCGCGGUUCCAUAGAGAUCUUUCAUUUUAUUUGGCUGGCGUUUUCGGCUUUGUUGGUGUUUUUUAUUUUUAUUAAAUAUUAAAAACAAUGAAUAAAAUUAGUUUUUUAAAAGCAAAUCCAUUUCCAAAUUAGAUCAAGGUUUGGCCCUACCUCCCUGAACUGUCACGAGCCGCCACUGAUUAAAGUUAGGAUAAGGCAAGUUGACCUAGAUCACAUUAUUUUGACGUAAGGAAUCUACUGUUGUUCUAUGUCCCAUUACUUUCGGGACACCCUGUAUAGCUUAAAUACACUCUCUUCGAGAAAUUUGGCUGCUUAGAUUAAAAUGAAACCGUCGUGUAAAAUAAUAACGUUUAUCUAGCUAGCUAUAAGAUAAUUUAAUUAACAACAUACUUACUUGAAAUACCCAAAAUUUCAGCCACUUCAGCAUACAGACGAUCCCUUAAAUGUUUGUCCUUAUACGAUCCCAAUUUCGUAUUCCACAAUGGCGGUCGUGCCUGUAUUUCGGUUCAUGUCACUCCCUGAAGUCAUCUUGACCAACUAACCACCACACCAUAAAACGCGAAAAAAAAACAAUCCUGAUUGAAUCGGACGCUGACGCUCGACAAACGCUCUUUACGACGCUAGACGCGCCGAGCCGCAAACGCUCCUACUCUGAACGUGUAUAUGCAAAUACAUUGGAUUGUUUUUUAACAGACGCGACGCGACGCUCGACGCUUCCACUCUGAACGGACCUUUACAGAUAAGACAGGACAAUGAAUUUGACUGGGAUUUGUCUGAUGAUGAGAGUUUGGCAGAAAAGAAACGGAAAAUCGAAAGGUCUAACACCAGCCAAUUUCAAAGUAGGGAAACUAAAAUGGAAAAAGGGUUCAAUUCCUAUGAUGUCCCAGCCUAUUUCGAAUGAAGGCCCUGUGCUUGAGAAAUUGGUAGAGUUACUCCACGGAAAGUCACCUUUAGACAUUUUCUUUUUGUUCUUUGAUGACCAAGUAUUAAAUCUUAUUGUAACAUUUUCGGAAAAAUAUGCAAAAGACAAUAAUCGACAUGAUUUUGAGUUGGAUAAAUAUGAAUAACUAAAGUUUAUAGGACUGCUAAUAUUUACAGGUUAUCAUAAACUACCACAAACCCAACUAUAUAUAUUGGUCAACUGAUGAAGACAAGGGGAUAGACAUUGUGAAAAAAUGUAUGAGUCGAAAUAAAUUUUACAAUAUAAAAAAAACCUCCAUUUGUCAGAUAACGCACAAUUAGAUAAAAAUGACAAGUUUUGCAAGCUUAGGCCAUUUUUUGAUCUCAUAAAUCAGAAAAUGUUGCAGUUUGGUAUAUUUUCACACUGUCUGUCCGUUGACGAAUAAAUGGUUCCUUACUUUGGCAGGCACUCCUGCAAAAUGUUUAUUAGGGGUAAACCCGUUAGAUUUGGUUUUAAAUUAUGGUGUAUUUGUUCGUCAGACGGUUAUUUAUAUCAGUUCAUUCCAUACGCAGGAGCAAAUCCAAAUAAACAAAAAUCCGUAUUAGGUAUGGGUGGGCAAGUGUUGAUUUAUUGUCUAUAGUGAAUGACCCAAUGCAGCAUCAGGUAUUUUUUGAUAAUUAUUUUUCUUCGUUUCAAUUAUUUUCAUAUCUUACCGAUAAAGGUUAUUUUGCGAGCGGAACUAUAAGGGAAAACAGAACCCUCCGCUGUCCUUUAGAAGGGACCAAAAGUGUUUCUAAACAAAAACGCGGCUACUACAUUUCGUCACAUGACACUGUCAAUGGGGUCUCAUUAGUUAGAUGGAACGAUAAUUCAGUGGUCACAGUAAAAAGUAACCAUUACAAUGACGAACCAUUAUACAGAGCUAAAAGGUAUGACCGUAAAGCAAAAAAAGACAAUCCUAUUCAGCAACCUAAUGUUAUCAAGAUGUACAACAAAUUCAUGGGGAGAGUAGAUUUCCACGAUAACGGGAUAGCCAAUUAUAGAAUAGGGAUAUCUGGAAAAAAAAUGAUGGUGGCCUUUGUUCGUUAACACUAUAGAUAGCACUUUAGUCAAUUGUUGGAAGGUUUAUAUCAUUGUCAGUGACAAAAAUAUUAGUCAACUAGACUUUAAAUCGUACAUUGCUCUUCGCCUGAUAAAAACUGAAUCUUCUAUUCGUACAUCUAUUACUACCCCUAAAGCAGUUCUUGAGCAAAGAUAUGAUAAUAUCGGUCAUACUAUCAUCACUAAAUUGCUCCACUCCAGACGUAGAUGCAAAAUAUGUAGUAGUCAAAUGGUAUUUUCAUGUAAAAAAUGCAUCGUGCCUCCAUACCGAUUGUUUUGAGCGUUACCAUAAAAAGUAAAAUUACGUUUUUUUUAUUCAUAUAUUUAUAUCCCUUUUUUGAAAACUAUUUUUUGUGUCAUAAUCUUCUUUUCUAACCUAUUUUAAUACAUAAUAAAUAUUGCUAUUCGAAAAAUUGUUGUUUUUUCAUGCCCUGGUAAAAUAUGAGUUAAUUUUUAAAAAAAUGUAUGUACACAUAA
This is a long non-coding RNA of Anthonomus grandis grandis, 4920 nucleotides long. RefSeq lists it as uncharacterized. The record is from RefSeq and is a predicted model, not a curated record. NCBI's taxonomy places the organism in Eukaryota, Metazoa, Arthropoda, Insecta, Coleoptera, Curculionidae. The transcript is spliced from 3 exons.